RNAcentral lists this ribosomal RNA (392 nucleotides) under uncultured bacterium. RNAcentral describes it as "bacterial SSU rRNA". It matches the Rfam family "Bacterial small subunit ribosomal RNA", at positions 28 to 420 of the family's 1533-position model. The record is from RNAcentral.
GACGAACGCUGGCGGCGUGCUUAACACAUGCAAGUCGAGCGGUAAGGCCCUUUCGGGGGUACACAAGCGGCGAACGGGUGAGUAACACGUGGGUGACCUGCCCUCAGCUCUGGGAUAAGCCCUGGGAAACUGGGUCUAAUACUGGAUAUGACUCCACGGUGCAUGUCGUGGGGUGGAAAGCCUUGUGCGGCUGAGGAUGGGCCCGCGGCCUAUCAGCUUGUUGGUGGGGUGANGGCCUACCAAGGCGACGACGGGUAGCCGGCCUGAGAGGGCGACCGGCCACACUGGGACUGAGACACGGCCCAGACUCCUACGGGAGGCAGCAGUGGGGAAUCUUGCGCAAUGGGCGAAAGCCUGACGCAGCGACGCCGCGUGAGGGAUGACGGCCUCGG